Molecule: ribosomal RNA, 252 nt
Filed under: uncultured bacterium
Lineage: Bacteria
Also listed under: 2 other names
Description: partial 16S ribosomal RNA
Rfam family: Bacterial small subunit ribosomal RNA
Source: RNAcentral
UACGUAGGGGACGAGCGUUGUCCGGAAUUACUGGGCGUAAAGGGCGCGCAGGCUGUAGAUCAAGUCAGCUGUGAAAUGUCUGGGCUUAACCCGGGCAUGCGGUUGAAACUGAUGUACUGGAGUGCUGUAGAGGCAAGUGGAAUUCCCAGUGUAGCGGUGAAAUGCGUAGAUAUUGGGAAGAACACCGGUGGCGAAGGCGACUUGCUGGGCAGCAACUGACGCUGAGGCGCGAAAGCCAGGGGAGCAAACGGG